AUUGAACGCUGGCGGCAUGCUUUACACAUGCAGGUCGAACGGGGUGAGGGGGCAACUCCUCAUUCAGUGGCGAACGGGUGAGUAAUGCAUCGGAACGUGUCCCGUAGUGGGGGAUAACGCCGGGAAACCGGCGCUAAUACCGCAUAUGCUCUACGGAGGAAAGUGGGGGACCGCAAGGCCUCACGCUAUGGGACCGGCCGAUGUCCGAUUAGCUUGUUGGCGGGGUAAAGGCCCACCAAGGCGACGAUCGGUAGCUGGUCUGAGAGGAUGAUCAGCCACACUGGGACUGAGACACGGCCCAGACUCCUACGGGAGGCAGCAGUGGGGAAUUUUGGACAAUGGGGGCAACCCUGAUCCAGCCAUGCCGCGUGCGGGAAGAAGGCCUUCGGGUUGUAAACCGCUUUUAGCCGGAAAGAAAAGGCACGCCCUAAUACGGCGUGUUCUUGACGGUACCGGCGGAAUAAGCACCGGCUAACUACGUGCCAGCAGCCGCGGUAA
Molecule: ribosomal RNA, 498 nt
Filed under: uncultured bacterium
Lineage: Bacteria
Description: partial 16S ribosomal RNA
Rfam family: Bacterial small subunit ribosomal RNA
Source: RNAcentral